UCCCGGAUCGUCUAGUGGUAGGACAGAGGACUUUGGAUCCUCUAGCCCAGGUUCGAAUCCUGGUCCGGGAGCCA
This 74-nucleotide transfer RNA is filed under the name Chloroflexota bacterium. RNAcentral describes it as "Chloroflexi bacterium tRNA-Gln". It matches the Rfam family "tRNA". From Rfam's summary of the family: Transfer RNA (tRNA) molecules are approximately 80 nucleotides in length. Their secondary structure includes four short double-helical elements and three loops (D, anti-codon, and T loops). Lineage: Bacteria; Bacillati; Chloroflexota. The record is from RNAcentral. RNAcentral also lists the same sequence under 1 other name.